CGACAAAAAAAAUACCAUAUUUUGGGCGGUAGGGUUGUUAGAGAACACAAUAUGGGUUAAAAAUAUAUAUAUAUAUUUUUUAAUCAUAUUUUCCUAUUUUUAUUUGUUCAUGUUUUGGGAAAAACUCGAUCAUUUAAUUGUUGUUGUCAUUUAUAGCCUAGAAUAUGGGACUGUUUAAUUUUUCUCUCCGCUGCAAAGUGUCAGCUCAGCACAUGUUGCCUUAUAGUUGCUCCACCUUGCUUUGUCUCCUGGAAGGUGCUGUCUAGACACUGACGAAAUCAGACGAGACGAACAAAUAACGGAGCUAAAACAAGAAUGUAGCGCCACCUAUUGGUGGUAUUAUAUAUUACGAUCUAUACAAUGAUUUCUUCAAAACGCCGAAGUUGUACUGUAGUGAUGAAUGAGCCAGCCAGGUCUUUUUUUUGGAUGCCACCAAGGCCACAUUUCGUGCUGUUUUCCCAGAGGAGGAUGGAGGGUCAUGGAGGAAGAGGUGCAUCUCCUUCGGGGCAGAUGGUGCCUCCUUGACCCUGGGCCACCGUGGGGGAGUGACUGCACCACCUGCAGAGAGAGGCAGGGGGGGCAUAUAAUCCCAAAUCCACUGUAUGCCACAUAGAGACAGUUGGGAAGGAGGGUGUCCAGACCCCAGUGGAGUCUUUCAGAGUGCUAAACCCCUGACGCAUGGCCAGAAGACCAGGCCAACCUUCACACCUUUGACGAUGAUGUUGUGGCAGACCUGAUGAGGCAUUAUCACGGAGCCUCUAGAGAGGUAAGAAUUUAUUUGACACUGCAUUGCCAUAUAUGAGACAAUGUUACUCACUUGCUCUGUUCAAUCCUGCAGAUCGGGGUGCAACAUGGCUGCUAUCCAGGAUGAGUGACAGGGGCUCAAAAUCCUGGUCAGCCACAAUUUCAAGGACAAGUCCUACAGUGUGGGCGUGUGGGAGACCAUGUUGACAAAGUGUAACCGAUGUGAAAUGGCUAGCUAGUUAGCGGUGGUGCGCGCUAAUAGCGUUUCAAUCGGUGACGUCACUCGCUCUGAGACCUUGAAGUAGUUGUUCCCCUUGCUCUGCAAGGGCCGUGGCUUUUUGUGGAGCGAUGGGUAACGAUGCUUCGAGGGUGGCUGUCGUUGAUGUGUGCAGAGGGUCCCUGGUUCGAGCCCAGGUAGGGUUGCGAGGAGAGGGAUGGAAGCUAUACUGUUACAAAAGGACCCCUACAGGCACAAUUACAAGGUAGACUAAGACGAGGAGUUGGAUCCCACUCCUGCCGUGGACCUCCUGGCUGACCUCUAGCUGACCAGACGGCCAACAUACAGAAGCAGCUGGACAACUGAUAUCCUUUGCGUCUAAUAGACACGGGGUCAAUGUGUGAUUUUUGGUGGUAUGUGCUGUUCCACAGAUGUGUGUCUCUUAGUACACGCACACACACACACA
Molecule: long non-coding RNA, 1427 nt
Filed under: Salmo salar (Atlantic salmon)
Lineage: Eukaryota; Metazoa; Chordata; Actinopteri; Salmoniformes; Salmonidae
Description: lncRNA (ENSSSAG00000118517.1)
Source: RNAcentral